UCGCCAAUCGCAUUUCCAAACAACUAACAACUCAGAAUGCUGGGCAAUAGGACGUUUAAAGUGGCUCCUUACACCUUACAAAGGAAUGGCUGAUGAGAAACAACUCGAUCCGCUCAGCGUUCUAUUGGAAUGCAACGGACGUGAUUGCAAGCUUUUGUUUUGAGUCGCGGUUUUACUGAAAGACUCUACAAUCCGCAAACUUCAAUGAUCUGAAGUAGAAAACCUACAUGCUACAGUGAGAUAUUGUGGAUAAACUUAAGCGACCGCUCCAACAUUGUGUUUUUUUAAAACUGAUGAAGGUUGCGGCAAUAACAGGUCUGUGAUGCCCUUCGAUGUCCUGGGCUGCACACGUGCUACAAUGGCUAGCGCAGUGAGCAUAUUUCAACCGAAACAUCGGUUGGCUGUUCUGAUUGACCCCUUCUGGGUCUCUCUGUAACACUACCGAUGAUCCCUCCUCUGAAAAGAGAGGGUAAGCCGUUCGAAAUUCUGGUAACGAUUCCCCGUAGUUAAGCAAACUUAAACCAUAGUGGUGUCAAACGGGUCCGCUUCCAUCGGAAAAGAUUCCUCCGGAAAAAGGCUUAUGCAGGCAUUUCACGUAUGCUCCUAUAAAUUCCUGGUAGGGAUAGUCUAUUGUAACUGGUAGACUUGUCAACUAGGAAUGCUUGUACGGG
This 671-nucleotide ribosomal RNA is filed under the name Globigerinoides sacculifer. Its description in RNAcentral is "partial 18S ribosomal RNA". It matches the Rfam family "Eukaryotic small subunit ribosomal RNA", at positions 1356 to 1623 of the family's 1831-position model. Lineage: Eukaryota; Foraminifera; Rotaliida; Globigerinidae. The record is from RNAcentral.